GCCCGGAUGGUGGAAUCGGUAGACACGAUGGACUCAAAAUCCAUUGCCCUCGGGUGUGCGGGUUCGAGUCCCGCUCCGGGUA
Molecule: transfer RNA, 82 nt
Filed under: Conexibacter sp. W3-3-2
Lineage: Bacteria; Bacillati; Actinomycetota; Thermoleophilia; Solirubrobacterales; Conexibacteraceae
Description: tRNA-Leu
Rfam family: tRNA
About the family: Transfer RNA (tRNA) molecules are approximately 80 nucleotides in length.
Source: RNAcentral